This 383-nucleotide ribosomal RNA is filed under the name uncultured eukaryote. RNAcentral's name for it is "partial 18S ribosomal RNA". It matches the Rfam family "Eukaryotic small subunit ribosomal RNA", at positions 592 to 976 of the family's 1831-position model. The record is from RNAcentral.
CAACAGCGUAUAUUAAAGUUGUUGCAGUUAAAAAGCUCGUAGUUGGAUUUCUGGUGGGAGCGAUCGGUCUGGCGCUUAGCGCGAGUACUUGCAUCGUCUCCGGCCAUCCUUGGGGAGAGUCUGUCUGGCAUUAAGUUGUCGGGCAGAGGAUCCUCAUCGUUUACUGUGAAAAAAUUAGAGUGUUCAAAGCAGGCUUAUGCCGUUGAAUAUAUUAGCAUGGAAUAAUAAGAUAGGACUUUGGUACUAUUUUGUUGGUUUGCGCACCAAAGUAAUGAUUAAUAGGGACAGUUGGGGGUAUUCGUAUUCCGUUGUCAGAGGUGAAAUUCUUGGAUUUACGGAAGACGAACUACUGCGAAAGCAUUUACCAAGGAUGUUUUCAUUAA